Non-coding RNA from Xyrichtys novacula (pearly razorfish), 423 nucleotides. NCBI's taxonomy places the organism in Eukaryota, Metazoa, Chordata, Actinopteri, Labriformes, Labridae. The record is from the annotation of a GenBank genome assembly.
AGAUUGUGACAAGAGUUUUAACAUUGUGGUAACAAGAAAGAAAAGACCAGAGACAGACUUUUAUUUUGGAAAAAAAAGCAACAAAAACUGUCAAAGUUUUGUUGGUUUUGAAAUCAUGAUAACCUUUCACUUUAUUUCCAAAACCAUUGAGGAAAAGCUGGCAGGGAUCAUUGGGGAAUCCCUCCUGAGCGGUGUGGUGACCGAGGCAGAGGGGGACAUACAAGCACCAAAUGUUCCAGGAUGAAGAUAAACGUAUUCGCUUGUUUAAAAUAGUAAAAAUGAACUUGUACAGUAGGAACACAUUUGGAACAUAAUUCACAAUAAUUUACUUUAUUCAAGACUAAAUGAUAUUCUUUUCAGUUCCUGGGUGUUCCAGUUGGUUCGGUGGUACUGCAGCUGUGCCAGGAGAGAGUGAGGCCGGUG